RNAcentral lists this microRNA (22 nucleotides) under Xenopus laevis (African clawed frog). RNAcentral describes it as "xla-miR-499-3p". Its record names the gene xla-miR-499-3p. The record is from miRBase by way of RNAcentral. Lineage: Eukaryota; Metazoa; Chordata; Amphibia; Anura; Pipidae. RNAcentral also lists the same sequence under 1 other name.
AACAUCACUUUAAGUCUGUACU